Long non-coding RNA from Amphiprion ocellaris (clown anemonefish), 2084 nucleotides. The record is from Ensembl. Lineage: Eukaryota; Metazoa; Chordata; Actinopteri; Pomacentridae.
CUGCUUUGCACUUUUUACACUGUUUAUUCACCAACACUUUAUUUAAUAAAAGUCCCAUCUAGUUUUUAUGAGGAAUGUGAUGUUUUAAUUUCUCUGUGAAUAACUGCAGUCUAAUGCAACAGCUGGAGUUGUAACAUCUGUCCUGAUAUUGAUCAUGAAGUAUUGAUCAGAAUACUUAUGGUCAGCAGUCAUCCCUGAAGUUUUACAUUAAAAUCUUUACUUGUGUUGUGAACUUUGGUAAGAAGCAGAAACGUUAGCGUUGCCAUGGAUACAUGAGUGUUAAAUUCUGUCCAUGUUUCCAUUUUGGGAAAUUCAGUCCAGUUCCAGAAUGUGGAGGAAUUUAGUCUCACAAUCACAGACAACAAAUAUUAUCUGAAAGUCGGGUUAUUGUUGUUUAUCAGCACAAUACAAAAAGAUUAAUGUUAGAAAUAUUCCAGUUAAGACUCUAGAAUAUCAUGAUUUAUGUAAAUUUACCUCAAUAAUAUGAAUGUUCCGGUUAAGAUUGAACAGUGAUAUUUAUUAUGUAAGUUUAGCUGAUUAAAGUUUAUGACUCUGCACUAAAAUAUUACUUAAAUUGACAUCAUUAUUAUAAUAUUUAGGGUCAGACCCUACAGUAUUGAAAUUAAGAAAUCAAAUAUUCUAUAAAAUGUAAAUACACUGAACUCAUUUGGAUAUAUUUAAGUGAGACUCUACAAUAUUAUUUGACACAAAUCUAUCUAAAUCAAAAUUUUAAUCAUUGUUACUCCAAGCAUUUACUGGACUGAUUUAAAUAUUAAAAUCACUCCUUUCUAAUCCUCUGCUGUACGUUCAAACCUGAGGCCUUAAAUAGAAACACACAAGUAUCUGAUUGAAGGAACUUCUGCAGAGUCCUGGUUCCAGAAGAUGAUGAUAGAAUUAUAGACAAACUUUAACAAAAGCUGCCUGAGAGUUUACAGGUUUUUAUGUUAGAUUUCUUCAGUAAUUUAAUGAGCGUUAUCAGCAAUAAUCAAGUGUUCAUUUGAUGAACUUCAUUUCCUAAAACAUCCAGAAUUGGAGCUCAUAUCUUUGGCAGCUGUAAAGUUUCUGCUCCUUCAAAGUUCACAACACAAUGAAUGAAUUCCUAAAACUCUCUCAAUGCUGGACAGCGUUUGUGAUGCUGAAGCAGUGAUCAGUUUUUCUGUUUCUUCUCUGGAGAUGCACAAUGAGGGACGUCUGCAGAGACUGAGAAAGAGUCUCACCACAUCCUGACAUGAGGAAAAAGACUUUAUUGAAGACUACAAUGAGAAAAACUAUCAGACAGCAGACGGCUGCAUUCAAGUCUGUAGCUGCUGAAUUCAUGGAUGAAUCAUCUGGCACUAGAGAGGAAGACCAUCAAACAUCCACGUCAGCUGAUGGAGGUCCAAGAGUCUCACCCAACAAACAACCUACAGAGUGAAGACCUCGAAUCUGAUUGGACGGCCUCCUAUUCAGCCACAUGCUGUUAGAUUGUUCCAGAUAAGACAAGUACAAGAUUCUUCAGAGCCGUUCUACCACGAGCCUGACAGGAAGAACUCCAACAGCUACUGAAUGUUCCUGUGGUCCCCUCAAGGCUACAGGAGGAGCCCUACGAGGACGAGCCGGUCCACCUGAUGGCGGCCAGUCGCUGCGGUUCAAAGCCAACACCGACUACGUGGACUUCUACUGGACCACAUGGAGGCCUUCAAACCAGACCAACAAGUUCAGCGACUCCCCGACUCGUGGGUCUGAGGACGCCGCCGAGCCUCGGUCCAGCCGGCCUCCUGUCUGUGGGUGUUUGAGUGCUGAGAGGUUUGUGGAUGGAUGUGAACGUGUCUGUGUUGAAACAGCAGCUUUGGACUCAGUAACGCUGGGAAAAACCAAGAGCUCCUUUAUUUGUGACUUCCACUAAAAUACUGAUGAUAAUAAGUUUGCCAGGGUUCUGACUGAUAACAGAUUAUUAAAUAAUGAAAAUAAUCAUUUAAAUAUUCCUUUAAACAAUCCUUUUAGGUCUACAUUUCCUUUACACUGACUUCUUGGUAUUUUGGGUGGAAUAUACAAUUAAGCCAGACGUUCAAGGGUUCUUCUGGGAAUAUACCAUUAAACCAACC